This is a long non-coding RNA of Oryctolagus cuniculus (rabbit), 1647 nucleotides long. The record is from Ensembl. NCBI's taxonomy places the organism in Eukaryota, Metazoa, Chordata, Mammalia, Lagomorpha, Leporidae.
UUCCUUCGGGUUGAUCAACCAACUGAGAUCAUGUUGAGUCAACCGAAAAAUUGAGAUUGUUGUAGCUGAACAGAGAUGGUACGGAACAUUGGCAGGAGGAGGAGAGGGGUCCAACAGGGAGCGAAGUGCGCGUCUGGAGCUCGCCGGGGCACCAGCCGCCGCGGCCGCUUCUGCUCUCCGAACAGCCUUCAGCGCCCAGCCAGCGGAGAGGCGGGUUCUGGCGGGCCGCGCCGAUCCCGGGGAGCCGAGAGCAGAGUCCAGGCGCCGCCACUUGCGAGAGAGGCAGAACGGCGAGCUGGGAGGCGAGCGGCACACACGUCGACGCGUGCCCACCGGCACUGCGCGCGUCCUCUUCGCUUCCGCGCCACCCCCGCCAGGUGCAGGGGGUGGGGGCGGUCGGGACCGGCGCGAGCGGAGCCGUGCAAGGGCUUCCCCGCCGGAGCUAACGUAGCGGUGGCAUCCAGAGGCGAAGGCGGGAGCGGCCGCCUGCGGAGGGCACCGGGCUGCGUGGCCGCCGCUGCGGCACAGGCGCCCGGGCUGGGCGGCGGAGCGCCCGGGGUUCGACGCCGGCCGGAAUCCCUGGGUUGGCCAGGGGGUGCGCGCCGCGGAGGCGGACGCCGGAGCAGGAGGAGGAAGAGGAGGCGAAGGCGGGCGCGGGGCGCUGGCGGACAGGCUGCGGGGCUGCCGGGCUGCCGGGCUGCCGGGGAGGAAGGCUGUGUGUGGUCACGUUGUGCGCUACGUGCUGAGAGCGCGAGUUGCUCUCCGCAGCCGGGCGACGUCAAAGCCGGGUGCGCGGCUCCUCUGCCUGCGCUGCUCCUCCUUCGCCCUGCCUUCCUGUGUCGCCGAGCGGCUCCCAGCCUCCAGCCUGCCCCGCCGAGGCCUCCGCGGCUCCCGGAGCUCCUCGGCCGCCGGAGCCCCUCACUUAUUCCUGCCGCCGCUGUCGGCCAGCCACCGCCUGAGACCCUGGCUAAGAAAAUAUGACAUAGGUUACUUGGAGGAGGAAUUGGCCAAUCAACCAAGUCUGUUCUCCAGUAUGUGCAUGAUACUCCAAUCCAGCCUGCAUGGCAGAUGCAAUGUUGUGGAGGGAAUCAGAGGAUGGUCCGAGACCCACCCAAAGAAGUAGGAUAGAAAUGAGGGUGAAAAAAAUCCAAAAUCUGGAGAUGUGGCUGAGUCAGAGAAAUUCAGAACAUCAAUGGUAAAUCUGUUUUCUUUCUUACUACAAUACAAAUACUGGGUCUAUUAUGUUAUUUACAUUUAUUUCCUGUUUCUUUGCCAGCCAAUUAAAUUACACAGUCUUCCAUAAACAGUACAGCCUGUCCAGUUUGUAAAAACAAAGUGAAAGGCAGUCUCUGGGACUUCUGCACAGUGACUUGCAGCUCCACACUUCUGUGUGCUCUAUUUCUCUUGAUUACAGAUUCCUAGCCCCAACUGCAGCUUGCUGGGGCUCUAACUCCCCUUGAGAGGUGCCUCAGUGAGCUGCAUACCUGGACCCCUGGCCUGGCCCUUUUGUCCUGGGGCUAAACCUACAAUACAGUUUGAUAAAACCCGGAGAUUGGAACCGCCCUGUAGUGCACAAAAUCUUCGAUCCUUCCUGAUCAAAGUUUUAUAGCCAAAUCUCUGAACAUAGUUUAAUUUCCUCCUAGACAU